GGGAUUGCCUCAGUAACGGCGAGUGAAGCGGCAACAGCUCAAAUUUGAAAUCUGGCUCUCGGGCCCGAGUUGUAAUUUGCAGAGGAUGUUUCUGGCGAGGUGCCUUCCGAGUUCCCUGGAACGGGACGCCAUAGAGGGUGAGAGCCCCGUCCGGUUGGUCGCUAAGCCUCUGUGAAACUCCUUCGACGAGUCGAGUAGUUUGGGAAUGCUGCUCUAAAUGGGAGGUAUACGUCUUCUAAAGCUAAAUACCGGCCAGAGACCGAUAGCGCACAAGUAGAGUGAUCGAAAGAUGAAAAGCACUUUGAAAAGAGGGUUAAAUAGUACGUGAAAUUGUUGAAAGGGAAGCGUUUAUGACCAGACUUGGGCCGGUUGAUCAUCCAUCGUUCUCGGUGGUGCACUCUGCCGGCUCAGGCCAGCAUCAGUUUGGCUUGGGGGAUAAAGGUUUCGGGAAUGUGGCUCCCUCGGGAGUGUUAUAGCCCGUUGCGCAAUACCCUGGGCUAGACUGAGGUUCGCGCUCCGCAAGGAUGCUGGCGUAAUGGUCAUCAGCGACCCGUCUU
RNAcentral lists this ribosomal RNA (557 nucleotides) under Lasionectria mantuana. RNAcentral describes it as "eukaryotic LSU rRNA". It matches the Rfam family "Eukaryotic large subunit ribosomal RNA", at positions 71 to 655 of the family's 3401-position model. The record is from RNAcentral. Lineage: Eukaryota; Fungi; Ascomycota; Sordariomycetes; Hypocreales; Nectriaceae.